Molecule: unclassified non-coding RNA, 400 nt
Filed under: Hevea brasiliensis (rubber tree)
Lineage: Eukaryota; Viridiplantae; Streptophyta; Magnoliopsida; Malpighiales; Euphorbiaceae
Source: RNAcentral
GAAAAGAGGUCCAUACAUUACACAUUAAUUAUUGGUAGUAAAUGUCAACAUCCGUAGAAUGCUAGACUUGUUGAGUCCAACAAAGGACAUCCUAAAUUCCUAAUAUUGUCAGCAAUAAAAGGGUUUCUUCAAGGAGUCCAAUCCUAUUAUCUUUGAGAGAACCAUAAUCUAAUCAAUAGGACCAGUAAUAUGAACAAGCUCAACUCAUAGGGGCAAUGCUUGCAACUUCCAAUAGGUGACAAAAGAUGAUGCAAAAGGUAAGCUUUCUUAUUAAUGGGGUUUUCCCUUUAUUUUCAAAUAUUCAUUGUCAUGGAAUCAUGCAAUUUCAGUGGCAACCCUUUUAUUUUCAUUGUACAUGACCGGGAGAAGUAUAAUCACCUGUACUUGCACUGAUCUGAUA